GCGGGAGUAGCUCAGUUGGUAGAGCAUCACGUUCCCAACGUGAGGGUCGCGAGUUCGAGUCUCGUUUCCCGCUCCA
RNAcentral lists this transfer RNA (76 nucleotides) under Bacillota bacterium. Its description in RNAcentral is "tRNA-Gly". It matches the Rfam family "tRNA". From Rfam's summary of the family: Transfer RNA (tRNA) molecules are approximately 80 nucleotides in length. Their secondary structure includes four short double-helical elements and three loops (D, anti-codon, and T loops). The record is from RNAcentral. Lineage: Bacteria; Bacillati; Bacillota. RNAcentral also lists the same sequence under 2 other names.